AUGGAGAUACCGGGAGUAGAGGCGGCUAGGGUUGAAGAUCCAUCUUCGGGCAGCGGGCGGGGCCCGAGGAACACGAAGGCGAAGGGUGAUGAGGGCGUGGCGAAGACGAUCGAGGGGAGUGAGGCGGACGUUCAGAAGGAUGAUGAGGGGGCAUAUUGGGAGCAAUAUGGGGCAGACGAAGAUCUAGAUGGUGCGUUUGAGAACCUCCAGUUGCAAGGGGAGGAGGAAGAAGAUUUGGAUCUAUCUGGGGAGUUUGAGGAUAUGAUCAAGGAUGUUCGCUGGAUGGCGCUCUUUAGGGUUCAUACCCUACGGCCGUUUAGCCAUGCUUCUCUGCUUAAUUUCGUGAGGAACGCGUGGGCGUGUGCGCAGGGGGUGACCUUCAACAUUAAGGGCCCCAACUUGUUCUUGGCUCAAUGUCAUUGUUUGGGAGAUUGGAAGCGAGUGAUGGAAGGAGGGCCAUGGCAGUUCAGGAGGGAUCCGGUGGUUUUAGUAGAGUAUGAUGGAUUUUCAGAUGUAGAAGAAUAUGAGUUGAACAUGUAUCCAUUAUGGGCCAGGAUUAGAGGAUUGCCGGACGGUUCGACGAGGAAGAAGGAGUUGGCAGAAAAGGUUGCAAAGAAGGUAGGAGAACCUCCGUUUAUAGUUACGGUGAAUGAAGGAAGGAUCAACCUGUUGGAAAUAUGCCCUAGAGGCAAUAAUAAAUGGUUAUUAUUAUAUUUCUUUGUUCAUGAUAAUUGUCUAUUGUUCAUGCUAUAA
Molecule: ribosomal RNA, 753 nt
Filed under: Triticum aestivum (bread wheat)
Lineage: Eukaryota; Viridiplantae; Streptophyta; Magnoliopsida; Poales; Poaceae
Description: partial small subunit ribosomal RNA
Source: RNAcentral